This is a ribosomal RNA of 646 nucleotides. It matches the Rfam family "Bacterial large subunit ribosomal RNA", at positions 1 to 642 of the family's 2925-position model.
AGAUUAAGUUAUUAAGGGCGCACGGUGGAUGCCUUGGCACUAGAAGCCGAUGAAGGACGUUACUAACGACGAUAUGCUUUGGGGAGCUGUAAGUAAGCUUUGAUCCAGAGAUUUCCGAAUGGGGAAACCCAGCAUGAGUUAUGUCAUGUUAUCGAUAUGUGAAUACAUAGCAUAUCAGAAGGCACACCCGGAGAACUGAAACAUCUUAGUACCCGGAGGAAGAGAAAGAAAAUUCGAUUCCCUUAGUAGCGGCGAGCGAAACGGGAAGAGCCCAAACCAACAAGCUUGCUUGUUGGGGUUGUAGGACACUCUAUACGGAGUUACAAAGGACGACAUUAGACGAAUCAUCUGGAAAGAUGAAUCAAAGAAGGUAAUAAUCCUGUAGUCGAAAAUGUUGUCUCUCUUGAGUGGAUCCUGAGUACGACGGAGCACGUGAAAUUCCGUCGGAAUCAGGGAGGACCAUCUCCUAAGGCUAAAUACUCUCUAGUGACCGAUAGUGAACCAGUACCGUGAGGGAAAGGUGAAAAGCACCCCGGAAGGGGAGUGAAAUAGAACCUGAAACCGUGUGCUUACAAGUAGUCAGAGCCCGUUAAUGGGUGAUGGCGUGCCUUUUGUAGAAUGAACCGGCGAGUUACGAUUUGAUGCA